RNAcentral lists this ribosomal RNA (842 nucleotides) under uncultured archaeon. Its description in RNAcentral is "bacterial SSU rRNA". It matches the Rfam family "Archaeal small subunit ribosomal RNA", at positions 53 to 901 of the family's 1478-position model. The record is from RNAcentral.
GCGAGUCAUUGUAGCAAUACAAGGCAGACGGCUCAGUAACGCGUAGUCAAUCUACCCUAUGGACGGGAAUAACCUCGGGAAACUGAGAAUAAUGCCCGACAGAACAUUAUACCUGGAACGGUUUAUGUUUCAAAUGAUUUAUCGCCGUAGGAUGGGACUGCGGCCUAUCAGUUUGUUGGUGAGGUAAUGGCCCACCAAGACUAUUACAGGUACGGGCUCUGAGAGGAGUAGCCCGGAGAUGGGUACUGAGACACGGACCCAGGCCCUAUGGGGCGCAGCAGGCGAGAAAACUUUGCAAUGUGCGAAAGCAUGACAAGGUUAAUCCGAGUGGUUUCUGCUAAAGAAACCUUUUGCUAGUCCUAGAAACACUAGUGAAUAAGGGGUGGGCAAGUUCUGGUGUCAGCCGCCGCGGUAAAACCAGCACCUCAAGUGGUCAGGAUGAUUAUUGGGCCUAAAGCAUCCGUAGCUCGUUUUGUAAGUUUUCGGUUAAAUCCAUACGCUUAACGUAUGGGCUGCCGGGAAUACUGCAUAACUAGGAAGUGGGAGAGGUAGACGGUACUCGGUAGGAAGGGGUAAAAUCCUUUGAUCUAUUGAUGACCACCUGUGGCGAAGGCGGUCUACCAGAACACGUUCGACGGUGAGGGAUGAAAGCUGGGGGAGCAAACCGGGUUAGAUACCCGGGUAGUCCCAGCUGUAAACUAUGCAAACUCAGUGAUGCAUUGGCUUGUGGCCAAUGCAGUGCUGCAGGGAAGCCGUUAAGUUUGCCGCCUGGGAAGUACGUACGCAAGUAUGAAACUUAAAGGAAUUGGCGGGGGAGCACCACAAGGGGUGAAGCCUGCGGU